Small nucleolar RNA from Choloepus didactylus (southern two-toed sloth), 133 nucleotides. RefSeq annotates it as small nucleolar RNA SNORA17. The transcript has a single exon. NCBI's taxonomy places the organism in Eukaryota, Metazoa, Chordata, Mammalia, Pilosa, Megalonychidae. The record is from RefSeq and is a predicted model, not a curated record.
ACUGCCCCCAGAGGCGUUGCAGAUGUGGCUGCCGUGUCACAUUUGUGUCAUUGGGUGGCAGAGAGAAGAAAGGCUACGUCUACGCUCAGUGUUCUGCCCCGUGAGCAUUUUGAAUGAUUAGUAGUCGGACAUC